This 143-nucleotide small RNA is filed under the name Attheya septentrionalis. RNAcentral's name for it is "partial transfer-messenger RNA". Lineage: Eukaryota; Bacillariophyta; Biddulphiophyceae; Attheyales; Attheyaceae. The record is from RNAcentral.
CCAAUUCCAUGAAGGACGCCUUUGAUGCAUUUCAAGAUCCCGACGUCAUGGCGGAAGCCGCUCAAAUGAUGAGGGACCCCGACUUUAAGAAAAACAUGGCCAACAUGGCAAAAGAUCCCGCCUUCAAAAACUACAUUGCUGCG